This 468-nucleotide ribosomal RNA is filed under the name uncultured bacterium. RNAcentral describes it as "partial 16S ribosomal RNA". It matches the Rfam family "Bacterial small subunit ribosomal RNA", at positions 28 to 507 of the family's 1533-position model. The record is from RNAcentral.
GACGAACGCUGGCGGCGUGCUUAACACAUGCAAGUCGAACGGAAAGGCCCUGCUUUUGUGGGGUGCUCGAGUGGCGAACGGGUGAGUAACACGUGAGUAACCUGCCCUUGACUUUGGGAUAACUUCAGGAAACUGGGGCUAAUACCGGAUAGGAGCUCCUGCUGCAUGGUGGGGGUUGGAAAGUUUCGGCGGUUGGGGAUGGACUAGCGGCUUAUCAGCUUGUUGGUGGGGUAGUGGCUUACCAAGGCUUUGACGGGUAGCCGGCCUGAGAGGGUGACCGGCCACAUUGGGACUGCGAUACGGCCCAGACGCCUACGGGAGGCAGCAGUGGGGAAUAUUGCACAAUGGGCGGAAGCCUGAUGCAGCAACGCCGCGUGCGGGAUGACGGCCUUCGGGUUGUAAACCGCUUUCGCCUGUGACGAAGCGUGAGUGACGGUAAUGGGUAAAGAAGCACCGGCUAACUACGUG